AUACGGAGGAUGCGAGCGUUAUCCGGAUUUAUUGGGCGUAAAGGGUCCGCAGGUGGUCUGUUUAGUCUGGGGUGAAAGCGUUGAGCUCAACUCAAUUAAGCCUUAGAUACUGGCAGACUAGAGUGCAGAAGAGGGUUAUGGAAUUCCAUGUGUAGCGGUAAAAUGCGUAGAUAUAUGGAGGAACACCGGUGGCGAAGGCGGUAACCUGGUCUGUUACUGACGCUCAGGGACGAAAGCGUGGGGAGCAAAUAGGAUUAGAUACCCUAGUAGUCCACGCCCUAAACGAUGAUUACUAAAUGUUGGGGAAACUCAGUGUUGCAGCUAACGCAAUAAGUAAUCCGCCUGGGGAGUAUGCACGCAGGUGUGAAACUCAAAGGAAUUGACGGGG
Molecule: ribosomal RNA, 388 nt
Filed under: uncultured bacterium
Lineage: Bacteria
Description: partial 16S ribosomal RNA
Rfam family: Bacterial small subunit ribosomal RNA
Source: RNAcentral